UUGCGGUAAAAAUACGAGAUUUUACCGUAUCCAUUUACUAUAUUUUUAACGGCAAUCAAUCAAUCAGUAAACAUUUUGGGAGUCAUAAGGGGGCGGUACCCGGCGACUCCACCAAACAUCCUUCAUUUGAGGAUCAUGGGGUCGAAACAGGAUCGACGGACGUCUAAAGGGGUUAGCUUUGUCUCGGCGGGGUGCCACCGUAUCGGCCCGAACAGUACAAUUGCAAAUGACAAUCGUGCUCCGGUUGCCGUUGCUGCGUAAGCAGUAACCAAACCGAAACUUAAGCCCUUGCGCCUAGCCGCGUAAGGCGGGGUUCGCAGGUACCUGGCAACAGAAACCUGCAUU
RNAcentral lists this transfer-messenger RNA (345 nucleotides) under Ruegeria spongiae. It matches the Rfam family "Alphaproteobacteria transfer-messenger RNA". From Rfam's summary of the family: Bacterial tmRNA, also known as 10Sa RNA or SsrA, is named for its dual tRNA and mRNA-like properties. Its role is to liberate the mRNA from a stalled ribosome. To accomplish this part of the tmRNA is used as a reading frame that ends in a translation stop signal. The record is from RNAcentral. Lineage: Bacteria; Pseudomonadati; Pseudomonadota; Alphaproteobacteria; Rhodobacterales; Roseobacteraceae.